GGGUGGACGAACAGACAUGUAGUUGUAACCAGACAAGUUGGACACACAGUAACAGAGGGAUUGAGGGCCCCGCUCAGUGAGUUUACAUGUUAGAGGGAGUGGGGUAUAGUGACACAGUAACAGAGGGAUUGAGGGCCCUGCUCAAUGAGUUUACAUGUUAGAGGGAGUGGGGUAUAGUGACACAGUAACAGAGGGAUUGAGGGCCUGCUCAG
This is a non-coding RNA of Pelobates cultripes (western spadefoot toad), 212 nucleotides long. The record is from the annotation of a GenBank genome assembly. NCBI's taxonomy places the organism in Eukaryota, Metazoa, Chordata, Amphibia, Anura, Pelobatidae.